RNAcentral lists this long non-coding RNA (1086 nucleotides) under Heterocephalus glaber (naked mole-rat). RNAcentral describes it as "lncRNA (ENSHGLG00100030062.2)". Lineage: Eukaryota; Metazoa; Chordata; Mammalia; Rodentia; Bathyergidae. The record is from RNAcentral.
CCCGUCCAGCUGGGGAAGCUGGUGCAGACUGGCGUGUAGAACACAGGAAGCCGGAGGGAGGGCCAUUUCCCCUUUCGCCCUCGAAAGUCCCCUCCCUCCCCCCGGGUGUGCAGCAAGAUGUCAAACCGGGGGCCGUGGGGAGACCCUCCCUUGCGGCGGAGCUCCACGACUCUACUAUCUUAACUCUACUUGGGGGGCCUCCUUAUACCCCAACCCCCAGAUUCUAGUUGCCGAAGGGAGACAGGAUACAGGUGCUGACUCAGCCAUUGAGACAUGUUAUCCAAGGAGCGGAGCUGGGAGGCGCCUGUGAGGACCGUGAGGGCCCACACCUGGGUGUUGCUUAUCUUGGGGGAUUUUCACCUCCUCUGCAAGAAGGGCCGCUGACCACAGGGCUCUGUAAAGUUGCUACCUGCCUUGCCGUAUUUUUCAGAACCCAUCUCCAAAAUGUUGGUACACAACAGGAUACAAAAGCACACACAAAGGGGAAAGCAAGCAAGUCUGGAGCAGUGGUAUAGAGUGUUCAAAUGAUUUCUCCAAAAUCUGUGCCCAGGACAAUACUCCCACAUGCUGCCGAAUGCCCCUGUGAGCAACUUGCCUUCCAGCCUGUGCAGAGUCACCUCUGGUGCUGGCAAAUGACUUUUCAGAGCAAGAAGACCCAGCAGACAUGAGUGAAAACAGCUGCCUGCACAAGUUGUCCCCUAACAGGUACAGCCAAGAGUCAGAAGCACAGAGGGAGCUGGGGAAGCGACAUUUCUUACAGAGCCCACUGCUGUCCCUGUGUGAAGUGGCUCAUAUCAGCUCUCGAUUCUAUGCCGGUGUUCUGGAUUUCCUCUUGAGAUGUGCAUUUGUAUCAGCCAUCCUGUCCCCUGUGCCUCUGACGAGCUCCCUUCUGGAUGGCCUGCUGUCAUGCUGAGAUGACCCUUCACUAACAUCUGAGAAGUCCCUUUGCUGUUCUACGGUGUGGAAAACUUGUUUCCUCCAUCUCAUGUCUUCUUCCUUGCUUAAUUCCUUUGUUUAAUGAAACAAAUUAAUUCCUUUGUUAAUGAAACUUCCCAAUAGUUUCCUAAGAAAAGUGUGUAAGUGGUC